UAGCGACAGCAGUGAAAGUUCAGGCGAUGUUGAAAUCGAAACCGAAACUGAGAGAGACGCAAACUCUCCUGAUUCAGACCCUGAUCCGUCUUCCUCUUCAGCAUCAACCAGUGCGACUGACACUGCAGGGGUUUGGAGUCAUAACCUGACCAUCUCUGUGCAUUCGUGAAAACACUACCUGCUGGUCUGAUUACGGAGGGAUUGCGACUUCAGAAUCUUUUAUUCAGACUUUAAAGAAGGAGAUGAAAUUACCUACAAUUACGGAGGAACGGACUGGCCUUGGUGUAGCAAGACUAGGGAGGAGAACACUGCUGAGAGCAAUGGCCAGGAGAAACAGCAGCCAUCACAAUCUACACCUUUUCUGGAUCAUAACACUGCUAGCGGUUCAUCAGCGACUGAACAGGUAAAACAUCUACUCUGAUAAAGAGGAAGGCUUGGGAAGUAAAUGAGGUCCAUGCAGUGGAGAGACAUAUAAAGACCUUCAUCAUGUCAUGUCGUGUCCCAGGGAAGUUGGCCUGUGAAAA
Molecule: long non-coding RNA, 524 nt
Organism: Ictalurus furcatus (blue catfish)
Lineage: Eukaryota; Metazoa; Chordata; Actinopteri; Siluriformes; Ictaluridae
Exons: 4
Source: RefSeq, a predicted model, not a curated record